This 217-nucleotide ribosomal RNA is filed under the name uncultured fungus. RNAcentral's name for it is "partial small subunit ribosomal RNA". The stretch from base 88 to 217 matches the Rfam family "Eukaryotic small subunit ribosomal RNA", at positions 733 to 864 of the family's 1831-position model. The record is from RNAcentral. Lineage: Eukaryota; Fungi.
GCCCUAGCCAGUUGGUCCAUCUUUUUGAUGUGUACUUGCUUGGUUGGGGCUUACCUCUUGGUGAGCUGCUAUGCCCUUUACUGGGUGUAGUAGGGAACCAGGACUUUUACUUUGAAAAAAUUAGAGUGUUCAAAGCAGGCCUACGCCCGAAUACAUUAGCAUGGAAUAAUAAAAUAGGACGCGCGGUCCCAUUUUGUUGGUUUCUGAGAUCGCCGUA